RNAcentral lists this transfer RNA (71 nucleotides) under Bos taurus (domestic cattle). It matches the Rfam family "tRNA". Rfam says of the family: Transfer RNA (tRNA) molecules are approximately 80 nucleotides in length. Their secondary structure includes four short double-helical elements and three loops (D, anti-codon, and T loops). Lineage: Eukaryota; Metazoa; Chordata; Mammalia; Artiodactyla; Bovidae. The record is from Rfam by way of RNAcentral. RNAcentral also lists the same sequence under 2 other names.
UUCCAGGUGGCACAGUGGUAAAGAACUUGCUUGCAACGCAAGAGACCCAGGCUCGAUCCCUGGGUUGGGAA